AGUGGAGUAGGCAUUUUGUGAGAAACAGCCAUCGUGAGCUUUCUCACCUGCAGAAGCUCCUAAGUGGGACACAGGACUGGUCAAAGACUGAGAUUCUCACACCAGUGCAAACUGGAAAAGAAAGACCAUUGUACAGAUCUGCAUUUGAAGAGAUGGGUCACCAAGAAAAGUCCUUUUCAUCUUUGGUCUGAAUAAUCUGGAUUUCCAAACUUCAAGAAAAGGUUAUGCCAAAAUGGGCUGAAAUGUGGAAUGCAUAUGUAUACAGAACCCAGCUGAUGAACACCCUAACAUCCAGCUCAUUAACAGACUCUCACAAAUUGGCUGAAAAAUAUAUAGAAAAAAAUAGUCUUCAUUUGUGGCAUGUAUUUAAGCUUUCCCUGAUAAUUGUUCUUUGUUGUUAUACAAUACUUGUGCCAUAUUUAUUGUUGUAAAAUAAUAAAUGCAAUACAAUGAAUAGAAAAAAGCUAUUUAGUUUUUCACAUCUGUGAUUCUGGAGCCCAGAAAGUAAAACAUAGAGGCAAAACACAACCUUAAAAUGUUGGUGGGGGGAGCACUGGCAGGGAGGCAGGCUCCUGAUGGCCUCCCCACACACAACCAGUCUCCCCAGUUUGCUCUGCUGCUCCCUGCAGCAGCACAGGAGAGGCAGAGCAGGGAGGAGGAAGUGCUCCUGCAUCCCACAGUGCACUGUGCCAGGAGUAUGAUGCACGGAGGAAUCCUCAUUCAGCCAGGUGCUCUUGCCACCCAGCUCUGUGUGUUAUUGUUCUCAGAUUUUUAAAACUCAAUCAGAUCAAUAAUUCCAAAAUGACCUCAUGCCCAAGAGAAGCAGAUCUUUCUCAGAUUCAAAUUUACCAUGUAUGGUAAUUAUUCAAGAAAAUGAAUAAAUGAAGUUGAAAUUCUACAAAUUUCAAACUGCUCUUUUACUUCCCUUUUGUAAGCAUAUUAAUAAAAUUAUAUUACAUAUA
Hemicordylus capensis (graceful crag lizard) is the source of this 962-nucleotide long non-coding RNA. RefSeq lists it as uncharacterized. The record is from RefSeq and is a predicted model, not a curated record. NCBI's taxonomy places the organism in Eukaryota, Metazoa, Chordata, Lepidosauria, Squamata, Cordylidae. The transcript has 2 exons.